AAAGGAAGAAACAAAACCCAACUGUGCUGCAAAAGAUUAAAUAAUGCUUUGAGAUGGAUUGAAGUAAUAAAAAUAAUUAAACUUUAAUUCAUACAACUAGUGGUAUAAUUCAUACCUUUUAGUAUAAGACAUGACAAAAGGAUUAUAUAAAAUAAAACUUGCCCUUUUUUCCAUAGGUGAGCCUCCUUCACCAAAGAAGGGGAGUUAGGAGAGUUACAUCAAUUAUACAAUACAAAGAGCUGGUGCCAGAAGAUUGCCAUGUUCAGCUGUACUCAUAAAUCAAUGCAAGUUGCAGUGAAAUUUCCUUUUUAAAUUUAUUCUCAUGCAAGUCUCAAUUUAUUUGUCAAGAUUUCCAAUAGUCCAAUCUGCCAU
This is a non-coding RNA of Podarcis lilfordi (Lilford's wall lizard), 372 nucleotides long. NCBI's taxonomy places the organism in Eukaryota, Metazoa, Chordata, Lepidosauria, Squamata, Lacertidae. The record is from the annotation of a GenBank genome assembly.